This 61-nucleotide microRNA precursor is filed under the name Pristionchus pacificus. Its description in RNAcentral is "mir-8364 microRNA precursor family". It matches the Rfam family "mir-8364 microRNA precursor family". Lineage: Eukaryota; Metazoa; Nematoda; Chromadorea; Rhabditida; Neodiplogasteridae. The record is from Rfam by way of RNAcentral.
UCUUCAUUUCACGUGCUCUCUCACCGGUCAGAGUGACGAGAGAGUGUGUGAAAUGAAUAGA